Molecule: ribosomal RNA, 283 nt
Filed under: uncultured Pseudomonas sp.
Lineage: Bacteria; Pseudomonadati; Pseudomonadota; Gammaproteobacteria; Pseudomonadales; Pseudomonadaceae
Description: partial 16S ribosomal RNA
Rfam family: Bacterial small subunit ribosomal RNA
Source: RNAcentral
CACCUGUCCUUAGUUACCAGCACGUUAUGGUGGGCGACUCUAAGGAGACUGCCGGUGGACAAACCGGAGGAAGGUGGGGAUGACGUCAAGUCAUCAUGGCCCUUACGGCCUGGGCUACACACGUGCUACAAUGGUCGGUACAAAGGGUUGCCAAGCCGCGAGGUGGAGCUAAUCCCAUAAAACCGAUCGUAGUCCGGAUCGCAGUCUGCAACUCGACUGCGUGAAGUCGGAAUCGCUAGUAAUCGUGAAUCAGAAUGUCACGGUGAAUACGUUCCCGGGCCUU